Long non-coding RNA from Dicentrarchus labrax (European seabass), 709 nucleotides. RefSeq lists it as uncharacterized. The transcript is spliced from 7 exons. The record is from RefSeq and is a predicted model, not a curated record. NCBI's taxonomy places the organism in Eukaryota, Metazoa, Chordata, Actinopteri, Moronidae.
CAUGACGACACAACGUCCUGACUCCUGACCGGAAGGUGGCGGCAGUGAGCGCAACGCUGCAUUCAAGCGGCGCACAACCCUAGAAGAGGAAGACGGGGAUUGAGAAGGAGAAGAAUCCGGAAGCGGGGAGAGAUGCUCUUCAGUCAACGAUGCUGAAGUCGAGGAAGAACAUACCACAGAUUCUUCUCUUGGUAAAAUGUCGACCAGUCUGAAUGAAUGAAGUGUUCAACUCGAACAGUGACAACACGAGACUGCAACUGAGCACAGGAUACAUUGGAAGAGAUGGCCUGAACUGACUCAUCAUGGAGGAGCUCCCAUCCUGAAACUCACAGGCCUCCAUGUGCUGAGAGAACUGACUCAUAUUGCAGAGGCCUUGUCUGAAAAUGAGUGUUGAUCCUGAAACAUGGAGAGCAUGGAAAUAUGUAUUCAUGGAGAAGUAAUACCGGCUCAUUCAUGCUGAGGGUCAUCACUCACAGGACCAACACAACAAGGUCGCUACAAUGAAGAAAGGUCAGAGGACGGACAACUAGCGGUCCUUCUGAAGCAGGAACAUGAGAUAAAUAACAAACUCCACCACUUAUGCUCCACCAUGAAAAGCUGCGUCAUGUGCUAAAAAACUGGUACCAUCUGCCCGUGGAUGGUUUAUCACUGAAAGAUGUGGAUGUACUUCACGUUUCUGUUUAUAAUAAACCUGCAACUGUGUUCAAAA